Chrysemys picta bellii (western painted turtle) is the source of this 153-nucleotide small nuclear RNA. Its record names the gene U2. It matches the Rfam family "U2 spliceosomal RNA". Rfam says of the family: U2 is a small nuclear RNA (snRNA) component of the spliceosome (involved in pre-mRNA splicing). Complementary binding between U2 snRNA (in an area lying towards the 5' end but 3' to hairpin I) and the branchpoint sequence (BPS) of the intron results the bulging out of an unpaired adenosine, on the BPS, which initiates a nucleophilic attack at the intronic 5' splice site, thus starting the first of two transesterification reactions that mediate splicing. The record is from Ensembl. Lineage: Eukaryota; Metazoa; Chordata; Testudines; Emydidae.
UUCGCUUUAAUAAUAUUAAAUGUGUUAUCAGUUUAAUAUUGGAUACAUCCUCUGAGGACUAUAUAUUAAAUGGAUUUUUGGAACAGGCGCUUGCUCCAGCCACUCCACGCAUCGACCUGGUAUUGCAGUACCUCCAGGAAUGGUGCACCUCCC